CCAGAGAUGGAUUGGUGCCUUCGGGAACUGUGAGACAGGUGCUGCAUGGCUGUCGUCAGCUCGUGUUGUGAAAUGUUGGGUUAAGUCCCGCAACGAGCGCAACCCUUAUCCUUUGUUGCCAGCGGUUAGGCCGGGAACUCAAAGGAGACUGCCAGUGAUAAACUGGAGGAAGGUGGGGAUGACGUCAAGUCAUCAUGGCCCUUACGACCAGGGCUACACACGUGCUACAAUGGCAUAUACAAAGAGAAGCGACCUCGCGAGAGCAAGCGGACCUCAUAAAGUAUGUCGUAGUCCGGAUUGGAGUCUGCAACUCGACUCCAUGAAGUCGGAAUCGCUAGUAAUCGUAGAUCAGAAUGCUACGGUGAAUACGUUCCCGGGCCUUGUACACACCGCCCGUCACACCAUGGGAGUGGGUUGCAAAAGAAGUAGGUAGCUUAACCUUCGGGAGGGCGCUUACCACUUUGUGAUUCAUGACUGGGGUGAAGUCGUAACAAGGUAACCGUAGGGGAACCUGCGGUUGGAUCACCUCCUU
Molecule: ribosomal RNA, 532 nt
Filed under: Klebsiella pneumoniae
Lineage: Bacteria; Pseudomonadati; Pseudomonadota; Gammaproteobacteria; Enterobacterales; Enterobacteriaceae
Also listed under: 1 other name
Description: bacterial SSU rRNA
Rfam family: Bacterial small subunit ribosomal RNA
Source: RNAcentral